CACAUAGACAGUGGGAGAGAGCUCUCCUUUGCUUGCUAGGUUCUUUUUUAGCAAGCUGAGGCAGAGAAGUUCCCUGGACUGUGUUUUUUUCUUUUUCUUGGAACUGAUCAGCCCUGUUUUGGACUGAAAACCCAGACAGAAGCUCACACCAGUGGCAUAUUGGGGCCAGGACAUGGCAUUUUCCAGCAAAGGAGGGACUGGUAAGCGACUGAGUGAGCUGUGUUGCACCUUGUGAAAAGGAUUAUCUGAAUUUGUCAUCUCUUCUGAACAUCUCCACAAGAAGUACAAACACCUCUGCAUAGUAAUAUUUUGCAAGAGAAGAGUUUGAAUCAGAAGAUGGAUGUCAAGGACCUGUUGUAGUUCUAGAAGGAAGGCCUUUAAGCUAUAAGGGCCUGAGCUCUUUGUGAAGGUUCCGUAUGUGCAUGGAAUUCCAUACAGUGCUUGCCUAGCAUUACUAGGAUUUUUAGAAAGAGAGAAGAGUGGGAAGAAAUCAGACCAAGUUGUAAUGUGCCCUGUCAGCUACGCUUCACAAAAGGAUGGUCCAAAUAGGAUGUCUUCUGCUUCUUCAGUAAUCUAAUAAAAUUUUAAUGUACAAAUAUUUGGAAAAUACAACUUAGGUUUAAACUUUUGGACUGUUGUUUUUUUCUACAUUCAUUAAAUCCCAUAUAAUUCUUUUUCGUCACCCUUCUAUGUAAUUACUUAAUAAUUUCUUGCAGAAAUAUUUAAUUCAUAGCUUGCUCCUUCCUUCUACACAUCUCAAAACUGCUUGUCUGACCUUUCACUUUCUCAUGACACGUUACAGUGCAGUUCCAAAUCUCUUCUCCAAUUAAUCCGCACAGGGGCACAAGUAAAAUACAAAGUUGGGAAUUAGAUUGCAAUUUCUGUAUUAUUACUACUGAGCAAAGGCCAGCAGCCUCAUGUUUCUUGCAUUAGCUGGUCCCUGCUGUUUCACUUAAAAGCCAUUUGUUUGAAAUGAACAGGUUAUAGAAAUUAGACUCAGAAUUUUAAAUGUUUAGCUAAAAUAUAUACAGUGAUGAACUGCUUUGUUAAAAAGUAUCCUCCCACCGAAAAAAACCUCACU
Molecule: long non-coding RNA, 1081 nt
Organism: Catharus ustulatus (Swainson's thrush)
Lineage: Eukaryota; Metazoa; Chordata; Aves; Passeriformes; Turdidae
Exons: 4
Source: RefSeq, a predicted model, not a curated record